Molecule: transfer RNA, 82 nt
Filed under: Gordonia hirsuta DSM 44140 = NBRC 16056
Lineage: Bacteria; Bacillati; Actinomycetota; Actinomycetes; Mycobacteriales; Gordoniaceae
Rfam family: tRNA
About the family: Transfer RNA (tRNA) molecules are approximately 80 nucleotides in length. Their secondary structure includes four short double-helical elements and three loops (D, anti-codon, and T loops).
Source: Rfam by way of RNAcentral
GCGCGAGUGGCGGAACUGGCAGACGCGCUGGAUUUAGGUUCCAGUGUCUUCGGACGUGAGGGUUCAAGUCCCUUCUCGCGCA